Molecule: ribosomal RNA, 497 nt
Filed under: uncultured bacterium
Lineage: Bacteria
Description: partial 16S ribosomal RNA
Rfam family: Bacterial small subunit ribosomal RNA
Source: RNAcentral
GAUGAACGCUGGCGGCGUGCCUAAUACAUGCAAGUCGAGCGAACAGACGAGGAGCUUGCUCCUCUGACGUUAGCGGCGGACGGGUGAGUAACACGUGGAUAACCUACCUAUAAGACUGGGAUAACUUCGGGAAACCGGAGCUAAUACCGGAUAAUAUAUUGAACCGCAUGGUUCAAUAGUGAAAGACGGUUUUGCUGUCACUUAUAGAUGGAUCCGCGCCGCAUUAGCUAGUUGGUAAGGUAACGGCUUACCAAGGCAACGAUGCGUAGCCGACCUGAGAGGGGGAUCGGCCACACUGGAACUGAGACACGGUCCAGACUCCUACGGGAGGCAGCAGUAGGGAAUCUUCCGCAAUGGGCGAAAGCCUGACGGAGCAACGCCGCGUGAGUGAUGAAGGUCUUCGGAUCGUAAAACUCUGUUAUUAGGGAAGAACAAAUGUGUAAGUAACUAUGCACGUCUUGACGGUACCUAAUCAGAAAGCCACGGUUAACUACGUG